CAGCAGCCGCGGGAAUACGGAGGGUGCAAGCGUUAAUCGGAAUUACUGGGCGUAAAGCGCACGCAGGCGGUCUGACAAGUCAGAUGUGAAAUCCCCGGGCUUAACCUGGGAACUGCAUUUGAAACUGUCAGGCUGGAGUCUUGUAGAGGGGGGUGGAAUUCCAGGUGUAGCGGUGAAAUGCGUAGAGAUCUGGAGGAAUACCGGUGGCGAAGGCGGCCCCCUGGACAAAGACUGACGCUCAGGUGCGAAAGCGUGGGGAGCAAACAGGAUUAGAUACCCGCGUAGUCCCUGUCUCUUAUAC
RNAcentral lists this ribosomal RNA (301 nucleotides) under uncultured bacterium. RNAcentral describes it as "partial 16S ribosomal RNA". It matches the Rfam family "Bacterial small subunit ribosomal RNA", at positions 509 to 807 of the family's 1533-position model. The record is from RNAcentral.